ACGGAGGAUGCGAGCGUUAUCCGGAUUUAUUGGGUUUAAAGGGUGCGUAGGCUGUUAUGUAAGUCAGUGGUAAAAGGUACAGGCUUAACUUGUAUAUGCCAUUGAAACUGUAUAGCUAGGAUAUGGAUGAAGUGUGCGGAAUGUGUGGUGUAGCGGUGAAAUGCAUAGAUAUCACACAGAACACCGAUAGCGAAGGCAGCACACUAAGGCAAUAUUGACGCUGAGGCACGAAAGUGUGGGGAUCAAACAG
Molecule: ribosomal RNA, 250 nt
Filed under: uncultured prokaryote
Description: partial 16S rRNA
Rfam family: Bacterial small subunit ribosomal RNA
Source: RNAcentral